RNAcentral lists this long non-coding RNA (801 nucleotides) under Drosophila guanche. The record is from RNAcentral. Lineage: Eukaryota; Metazoa; Arthropoda; Insecta; Diptera; Drosophilidae.
AAAAAAUGCCAGUCGAGUAAAUUUGAAACCUUGCCACGUGGCCAUAAAAACCAGGCUAACAAAUGUACUCAGGCCAGGAGCUGCGCCUGGCAGCAGCAGGAGCCGGUCCAGGACUAGACCCGACAUCGGGAUGUAAGUAACGUUGGGGGGCAGCAACUGGAACUGCAUUUUAGGGCCAUAUUUUAUACACACUUAGAGUCACACACAGACACAGAGGACACUGGAUAGAGGAUACGGGAUACUGGAUACAGAGAGCGCUGCAGUGUCAAAGGCAAUGCAGGCAGAGAUAAAGAACCGAAGGCGAGAAAGGAGCAUCGAAAAACAAAAGGUUAAAAACUUCUUUGCCCGCACCAGCCCAGAGAGAAAAGUGUGAAAAAGUGUCGAGCGCAGGAACUGGGUUAAGCAAAUGCCAGGAGCCAAGACAAGCUUCCCAAUAUUAAUAAAUGCGUCUCGGAAUUAAUGUGUUCCUCCUCCCCACUAAACACCACCACUAAACAGCGAGAAGAGACCAGAGACAAGACGAGACACUUGGGUGAGGGCAAGUCAAAAUGCCCAAUUGAAUUUUAAUUAACUAACAAUGUCUGAAGCAAGGGUCGCCAUCUGCUUGGACUGAGCUGGAAAAUACUUGCGGCUAGAUGGAUAUUUUCCAUAAGAUGCAACACAUUGCCCCAAAUAUUUUCCACUGUAAUUGCUGUUCAAUAUGCCACAUCAUUUUCGGCUCAUUAAUCACUGAGCCAGUUUCAUUAGAGCGAAAAUGAAAAUAUAGAAGGAAAUGCUAUAGAAUUAUUAGCCAAUAAAUGG